RNAcentral lists this ribosomal RNA (265 nucleotides) under uncultured archaeon. Its description in RNAcentral is "partial 16S ribosomal RNA". It matches the Rfam family "Archaeal small subunit ribosomal RNA", at positions 717 to 982 of the family's 1478-position model. The record is from RNAcentral.
ACACGACUACAUUAGAUACCCGCGUAGUCCUAGCCGUAAACGAUACUCGCUAGGUGUCGGCCACGGUGCGACCGUUGUCGGUGCCGUAGGGAAGCCGUGAAGCGAGCCACCUGGGAAGUACGUCCGCAAGGCUGAAACUUAAAGGAAUUGGCGGGGGAGCACAACAACGGGUGGAGCUUGCGGUUUAAUUGGAUUCAACGCCGGAAAUCUUACCGGGACCGACAGCAACAUGAAGGCCAAGCUGAAGACUUUGCCGGAUUAGCUG